This 500-nucleotide ribosomal RNA is filed under the name uncultured bacterium. Its description in RNAcentral is "bacterial SSU rRNA". It matches the Rfam family "Bacterial small subunit ribosomal RNA", at positions 46 to 518 of the family's 1533-position model. The record is from RNAcentral.
GCCUAAUACAUGCAAGUCGAACGGUCUUUCUAUGGAAGCUUGCUUCCACUGAGAAGAGUAGUGGCGAACGGGUGAGUAACACGUGGGUAACCUGCCCAUAAGAGGGGGGAUAACAUCCGGAAACGGGUGCUAAUACCGCAUAGUUUUCUUGAUCGCAUGAUUGAGAAAGGAAAGACGGCCUUUGUGCUGUCGCUUAUGGAUGGACCCGCGGCGUAUUAGUUAGUUGGUGAGGUAACGGCUCACCAAGACGAUGAUACGUAGCCGACCUGAGAGGUGAUCGGCCACAUUGGGACUGAGACACGGCCCAAACUCCUACGGGAGGCAGCAGUAGGGAAUCUUCCGCAAUGGACGAAAGUCUGACGGAGCAACGCCGCGUGAGUGGAAGAAGGUUUUCGGAUCGUAAAACUCUGUUGUCAGAGAAGAACAAGUUGGAGAGUAACUGCUCCAGCCUUGACGGUAUCUGACCAGAAAGCCACGGCUAACUACGUGCCAGCCGCGGC